GGCGACUCCUCGAACAGAGAAAUAACAGAGGAAAAAACAGAGAAAUCGAGCGACCUCUCCGUGACGGGUAGGGUUCCAGCCCGCGGCCCCCUUCUGGCCGGGCUGUCAGCGGCGCGCCGCCCUUCCGGCCUACCCCUUCCUCUGGCGCCAACUCCCCUGUCCCUGCCCCCGAGCAGCCCGCCAGCGCCGCCGACCAGACCUCCGCCCUUCCUCCACCGCCGCUCCUCCUCUGCAGGCCUCUCUCUCUCUCUCUCUCUCUCUCUCUCUCUCUCUCUCUCUCUCUCUCUUGUUUUGUACAGGAUAGUUUUAUGUGAUGAAUUGAUACUUCCUGUAUUGAUUUUUUUUUUCGAAUUGUACAUGCCAUGGUUCCUUGUUAGUUUUUCUUAAAUUUGGCCAGAAUUUGGCUGUUUUUGAACUACUUUUGUUUGUCUGCUUGUGCAAUAAUGGCAAUAUGCCAUUUAUCUUAUUAUUAGACUUGGGAACUAUUUCCUUCAUAUUCUGGCAAAAUUCUGGCCACAUGAUCUCUAUUAGGUUAUGAUUAUUUGAACUGAACUGCAUUUUAGUUGUUAUUUUGCUUGCUGUGUGAACCUGAUGUGUAUUUGCUAUGGUGUGAACUGUAUUUUAGAUGCUAUGUCAAUUACCCAUGUGCCAUGUUUUCUAUUUUCCUGUGUAUAUAGCCAAUUUUUAAAAAAAGGUUAAGCACCCAUUGCUCUAAGCUGUGGCCUUCUGCUUCACUUAUGCUUUCCGCUUUUUGAACAUUGAGUGCCUAUCAGGGCACUAUAUAUUUGUUGUGAUUUUGAGCUGAUCGUCCUCUUCAAUAACUUCUCUUAUAGGUGUAGCCUGCCGAGGUGAAGACUUGGGACGAGAUAAUGGCAAACCUCGCUGAUUCCUUCUUGGCCGAUCUUGACGAACUUUACCGAAAAAGGCUUUCGCCCCGCUUUACAAAUAAAGCAAACCGCCAGAGAGCACAGAUACAUAAUCAAGUCCACACACACACACCCAAGUCUCACAAUAAAGUACAUAGGUUCUGCUGAGGGCACAGCUCAACAAGCCCAGAAAAGAAAAAGGACAGAACACGCCGGACGAAGAAAUCGCCUAGUCUGGCUCCGGCGGAGGCGGCGGGGGCGGCGGCGACAGGCGGACGGCCAUCGAUCGGAGGUCGGCGAUGAAGGCUGAGAUGGCGUCGCAAUCCAGGGGGCGGCUAAGCGGCCGCCAAAGCUGCAAGAAACCCGAGAGUUUGAAAAGAGCGUCAGUAGCCCGACGAAGAGGAGUGCGCUGAAUCACUAGCUUAUUGCGGACAGUCCAGAGGGUCUAGGCGAGGACCCCAAUCUCAAGCCACCUAAUGUGGCGAGAAGUCGCGGGGGACAACUGGAGUUCGGCAAAUAAGUCCGGGAAGUUGGUGUGACACCAAUCUCCACCGACCACUUCGCGAAAACAGCUCCAGAGGAACUGAGCGGAAACACAGGAGAAGAAAAUGUGGUUCGAGUCUUCGGGAACCCCACAGAGUGGGCAGACGCCCGAACCCGGGCCAUUUCGCUUGCGCACCUCCACCCCGGACGGGACCCGGCCGUGGAUCCAUUGCCACAUGAAGAUGCGGCUUUUCAGGGGCAGGCGGAUGGACCACACCAUCGAAAGGGGGAGGGGGGCAGAGGAAGGGGCGAUGGCCAGGUAUAGCGACUUGGUGGAGCCUAUCCCGAAGAAGACAACGCUGAGGCAGUGGGUGUGGAUGAGGAUGGUGACGAUGAUAUGCCUGACCUCGAGUCUCUUAAUUAUGACGAUCUUGACAGUGUCUCAAAACUACAUAAGACACAACGUUAUAUUGACAUAAUGCAAAAAGUCGAAGGAGCGCUUGAGAAAGGCACAGAUUUGUCUAAUCAAGGGUUCAUCCUGGAGGAGGAUCCAGAGUACCAGCUCAUUGUAGAUUGCAAUGCUUUAUCAGUAGAUAUUGAGAAUGAACUCAUUAUAGUCCAUAAUUUCAUACGUGAUAAGUAUCGGCUGAAGUUUCCUGAACUGGAAUCCCUUGUUCAUCAUCCGAUUGAUUAUGCCCAUGUUGUUAAGAAGAUCGCCAAUGAGAUGGAUUCAACACUAGUAGAUCUGGAAGGGCUUUUACCUUCUGCAGUUAUAAUGGUUGUCUCUGUAACAGCGUUGACAACUAGUGGGAAGCCUCUUUCUGAGGAGAAUUUGGUAAAAACCAUUGAAGCAUGUUACAGAGCCCUUAAUCUUGAUGCUGCAAAGAAGAAGGUGCUUGAUUUUGUUGAGGGUAGAAUGGGUUACAUCGCACCAAACCUUUCUGGCAUUGUUGGCAGUGCUGUUGCUGCUAAACUGAUGGGGAUUGCUGGUGGUUUGGGAGCACUGGCAAAAAUGCCUGCUUGCAAUGUUCAGUUACUUGGAGGAAAGAAGAAAACCUUACUGGAUUUUCUACUGCCACAUCUCUCAGUUUCGUGUUGGCUAUCUUGAACAAACCAAAGUAUUUCAGAGCACCCCUCCAGCCCCGAGGACCCGUGCUUGCAGGCUUAUAGCUGCAAAGUCGACUCUAGCAGCAAGAAUCAAUUCGAUUAGAGGUGAUCCAACUGGAAAAGCUGGUCGCAACUUGUUAGAAGAAAUCCGCAAGAAGAUCGAGAAGUGGCAGGAACCACCUCCUGCAAAGCUUCCAAAACCACUUCUGUACCAUACUCCGAGCCUAAAAAGAAGAGAGGGGGUCGCCGCCUUCGAAAAAUGAAAGAAAGAUAUGCGGUAACUGAUAUGAUGAAGCUUGCAAACCGAAUGCAGUUUGGAAUACCAGAGGAGAGCUCAUUAGUUCAGUUGGUUUUGACAGUGAUGGUUUGGGGGAAGGUUAUGGCAUGCUCGGGCAGGCCGGAAGUGGGAAGCUACGUGUCUCAGCUGCACAGAACAAAUUCUCUGCUAAAGUGGACAAAAAAUUCAAGGAGAAGAGUUAUGGUAGGAGUGGUGCAACAUCUGGACUGACAUCUAGUUUGGCCUUUACACCAGUUCAGGGAAUAGAACUGUCAAACCCACAGGCACACGGGAACCUUCUUGGAAGUGGAAUCCAGAGCACCUACUUCUCGGAGACCGGCACAUUUUCUCGGAUCCGUAGGCCUGGAGGUUAGAAUCUGAAAAAGGUGUGGAAGGAUGGCAGAGCACUCUGAGAAUGCGGCAGAGAACAUGAUGAGCGGCAUCAUGGACGCCAUUGCCGACAAGCUCCCCAAGCAAAAGUCUGUCAGGUUCGACGAUGAGGGCUCCAUUUCCGGCCAAGCCAAGAAGCUCUUCGGCGGCCACAAGUCUGUUCACCACAUCCUCGGCGGUGGAGAAUCCGCUGAUGUGCUACUGUGGAGGAACAAGAAGAUCUCAUCGAGCGUUCUUGCUGUUGCAACAGCUGCCUGGGUCUUCUUCGAGUGGCUCGACUACCAUUUCUUGACCAUCGUAUCAUUUGUGCUUGUUCUUGGCAUGGUUGUCCAGUUCGGAUGGUCCAGCUUCGCAGGCAUGCUCAAUGGGUCUCCUUCUAAUGUGCCCCGUGUGGAGUUACCAGAAGAGCUGUUUGCAAACAUCGGCGCAGCUGUCGGCGCCCAGGUGAACAAAUUCUUGGGAAGCCUUCAGGAUGUGUCCUGUGGAAGAGACCUGAAGCAGUUCCUCAUGGUGAUCGCCGGGUUCAUUGUCACCGCUUUCAUCGGGAGCUGGUUCAGUCUCAUCACCGUCAUCUACAUCGUGCUCUGUUGCAGGGUUUGUGUGUGCACACACUCUACCAGUGUUCUAUGAGAGGUAUCAUGAUCAAGUCGAUGAGGUGCUGUACAACAUGCUUGGCUUGAUUGGGAGUCAGUACCAGAAGCUUGACAAGGGCGUCUUGAGCAAGAUGCCUAAAGGGAACCUCAAGUUGAGGAAGAGCCAGUAGUAGUUGGAUUCACCAACGGAACAUCUAUGCCUGUGAUCCGGAUGAACUUGUUAGAAUUAAUGGGUUUGACCAUGUGCAUUUCCAGAAAUUCCAAAAGCCUAUGAAUAAAUGGUAAGACGUGGUGCAAAUCUUUAAUCCCAUAUCGCUACCAUCUUAUCAAAAAGGCUUUCGCCCUGCUUUAUAUAUAAAGCAAUGAUCAACAACAUCCGGUACAAACGCACGCCCCCACAAUACAUGCACACACACCCAAGGCAGGAUACAUAGGCGCUGUGCGCAGCAACACCAUCCCUAGCACUACAAGAGCAGUCGGGGGAUACAGUUGUGAACACGUCACCGUGAAGAAGUAAAGCCGCAUAUGACGAACCGUGGGCUCCAAGAUGGUGCCUUCAGGAAGGGGACGACUGGGGCACCGCCACCGUCUGAUCCAACGAUCAGAGUUUUCCCUUGAGCAACAUGACCGGCAACGAGAGCCGCGACGACGCCUUCAAGAAGGGAACGAGCUUCGCCGCCGCCGGUCCGUCCAAAGAAAGAGCAGAUUUUCACCCCGGCCAUCACUCACCGCCACCGAAUGCCACACCCCAGCUACCACGCCGCUCACACGGCCGUGGCAACCGGGCAGCACCAAGUGAUACGUCUCCAACGUAUCUAUAAUUUUUGGUUGUUCCAUGCUGUUAUAUUAUCAUUCUUGGAUGUUUUAGAGUCAUUUUAUAUCAUUUUUUGAUACUAACCUAUUGACAUAGUGCCCAGUGUCAGUUGCUGUUUUCUGCAUGUUUUUACAUCGCAGGAAAUCAAUAUCAAACGGAGUCCAAACGCAACAAAACUUUUUGAGGAUUUUUUUGGGCCAGAAGACAUCUAGUGGGCCAGAAAAGCACCUGGGGGUGCUCCGAGGAGAGCACUACCCACCAAGGCGCGCUUGGGGGCCCAGGCGCGCCCCGGUGGGUUGUGCCCACCUCGGGUGCCCCCUGAACCGCCUCUUUGCUUUAUAAAUACCCCAAUAUUCCAGAAACCCUAGAGGGGUCGGCGAAAAUCAAUUCCAACCGCCGCAGAGUCCAGAAACAUCAGAUCCAAUCUAGACACCAUCUCGGAGGGGUGCAUCAUGUCCAUUGGUGCCUCUCCAAUGAUGCGUGAGUAGUUCUUUGUAGACCUACGGGUCCCUAGAUGGCUUCCUCUCUCUCUCACACACACACUCUCUUUCUCUCUCUCUCUCCCCCUCUCUCUUGAUUAUCAAUACAAUGGUCUCUUGGAGAUCCAUAUGAUGUAGGUCUUUUUGCGUGUGUUUGUUGGGAUCCGAUGAACCUUGAGUUUAUGAUCAGAUCUAUGUUUUUA
RNAcentral lists this ribosomal RNA (5212 nucleotides) under Triticum aestivum (bread wheat). RNAcentral describes it as "partial small subunit ribosomal RNA". The record is from RNAcentral. Lineage: Eukaryota; Viridiplantae; Streptophyta; Magnoliopsida; Poales; Poaceae.